Molecule: long non-coding RNA, 208 nt
Filed under: Lupinus angustifolius (narrow-leaved blue lupine)
Lineage: Eukaryota; Viridiplantae; Streptophyta; Magnoliopsida; Fabales; Fabaceae
Description: long non-coding RNA (LANG_LNC000171)
Source: RNAcentral
AUUUAUGGUUUGGUUAAAAGGAACCCAAAAAUGGAGCAAAUAAAUAAAGUCACCAAAUAAAUAAGUUUUUCAUCACUCAUCACUCUAAAAUAAAAUAAACUUGCAACAAUCAGGAAAACCCUUUCAACAAAGUGACCCGUUUUGUUGUUGAAGGGGGAAUUCCUAGUGGUGAAAUCCGCUUUUCAACAAAUUGGCGCCGCUGUCGGGG